Otolemur garnettii (small-eared galago) is the source of this 107-nucleotide small nuclear RNA. Lineage: Eukaryota; Metazoa; Chordata; Mammalia; Primates; Galagidae. The record is from Ensembl.
GUGCUCGCUUCAGCAGCAUAUAUACUAAAAUUGGAGUGAUACAGAGAAGAUUAGCAUGGCCCCUGGGCAAGGAUGACACCCAAAUUUGUGAAGUGUUCCAUAUUUUU